RNAcentral lists this ribosomal RNA (277 nucleotides) under uncultured Prevotellaceae bacterium. Its description in RNAcentral is "partial 16S ribosomal RNA". It matches the Rfam family "Bacterial small subunit ribosomal RNA", at positions 511 to 788 of the family's 1533-position model. Lineage: Bacteria; Pseudomonadati; Bacteroidota; Bacteroidia; Bacteroidales; Prevotellaceae. The record is from RNAcentral.
GCAGCCGCGGUAAUACGGAAGAUGCGAGCGUUAUCCGGAUUUAUUGGGUUUAAAGGGAGCGUAGGCGGGCUGUUAAGUCAGCGGUAAAAUGUCAAGGCCCAACCUUGUCCUGCCGUUGAAACUGGCGGUCUUGAAUGCACACAAGGGAGAUGGAAUUCGUCGUGUAGCGGUGAAAUGCUUAGAUAUGACGAAGAACUCCGAUUGCGAAGGCAGUCUCCUGGGGUGUAAUUGACGCUGAGGCUCGAAAGUGCGGGUAUCAAACAGGAUUAGAUACCCC